RNAcentral lists this ribosomal RNA (900 nucleotides) under Pestalotiopsis monochaetioides. RNAcentral's name for it is "partial large subunit ribosomal RNA". It matches the Rfam family "Eukaryotic large subunit ribosomal RNA", at positions 39 to 965 of the family's 3401-position model. The record is from RNAcentral. Lineage: Eukaryota; Fungi; Ascomycota; Sordariomycetes; Amphisphaeriales; Sporocadaceae.
CAAUCAAUAAGCGGAGGAAAAGAAACCAACAGGGAUUGCCUUAGUAACGGCGAGUGAAGCGGCAACAGCUCAAAUUUGAAAUCUGGCCCUCGGGUCCGAAUUGUAAUUUGUAGAGGAUGAUUUUGGUGCGGUAUCUUCCGAGUUCCUUGGAACAGGACGCCUUAGAGGGUGAGAGCCCCGUACGGKUGAAUGCCUARCCUCUGUAAAUCUCCUUCGMCGAGUCGAGUAGUUUGGGAAUGCUGCUCUAAAUGGGAGGUAAAUUUCUUCUAAAGCUAAAUAUUGGCCAGAGACCGAUAGCGCACAAGUAGAGUGAUCGAAAGAUGAAAAGCACUUUSAMAAGAGGGUUAAAUAGCACGUGAAAUUGUUGAAAGGGAAGGAUUUGUGACCAGACUUUUUCUGGGCGGAUCAUCCGGGGUUCUSUCCGGUGCACUUUSCCCAGUAAAGGCCAGCAUCGAUUUUCGGYGGCGGAUAAAAGCAGUGGGAAUGUGGCUCCCCACGGGGAGUGUUAUAGCCCAUUGUAUAAUWCGCUGCUGGGGAUCGAGGUACGCGCUUCUGCAAGGAUGCWGGCGUAAUGGUUAUCAAUCACCCGUCUUKAAACACGSACCAAGGAGUCGAACAUUUAUGCGAGUGUKUGGGUGUUAAACCCUCMCGCGUAAKGAAAGUGAACGGAGGYGAGAGCCCGUACGGGUGCAUCAUCGACCGAUCCUGAWGUUUUCGGAUGGAUUUGAGUAAGAGCAUAASKGUYCGGACCCGAAAGAWGGUGAACUAUGCGUGGAUAGGGUGAAGCCAGAGGAAACUCUGGUGGAGGCUCGCAGCGGUUCUGACGUGCAAAUCGAUCGUCAAAUCUGCGCAUGGGGGCGAAAGACUAAUCGAACCAUCUAGUAGCUGGUUACCGCGAAA